UACGUAGGGGGGCUAGCGUUGUCCGGAAUCAUUGGGCGUAAAGAGCGUGUAGGCGGUCCGGUAAGUCCGCUGUGAAAGUCGGGGGGCUCAACCCUCGAAUGCCGGUGGAUACUGUCGGGCUAGAGUGCGGGAAGAGGCGAGUGGAAUUCCUGGUGUAGCGGUGAAAUGCGCAGAUAUCAGGAGGAACACCGAUGGCGAAGGCAGCUCGCUGGGACGGUACUGACGCUGAGGCGCGAAAGCGUGGGGAGCAAACAGG
Molecule: ribosomal RNA, 256 nt
Filed under: uncultured bacterium
Lineage: Bacteria
Description: partial 16S ribosomal RNA
Rfam family: Bacterial small subunit ribosomal RNA
Source: RNAcentral